UCAUCCCAUAUUAGCUAACACUGCUUUCCUUUCUUCUCUCCCUCAGUCUUAAUAUGAUUACUGCUGUAAAAGAAUGAGUCUUAGGAAGCAAAUGGUAUUUCUUCUUUUCUUGUUCUUAAUUAUUUAUAUAUUUAUUAGAGUCAAACUUUAAAGCUUCUUGUGAUCCGUGUGUUCAAGUAGGAUCAUGGCAAGGGAAAAUUUAAGCAGUGUGCAGUGUCAGAAAGAAGGGAUGGGAUGGUGUGUAACUCCACAGAUUCUGCCAUCUCGACCUACCCAUGUACCUCCCUCUUCUCACUGCCCCUUCCCCCAAUAUACAUUCUUGGCUUAAGUUUUACAGGGCUUUGGUGCUUUCCAGGGGCACAGUCAGCACAAAACUAAUCGGCAUCAGUUAACAGGUAUGAAAACUUAGGUGUAAAAAGUUAUAUAAUUUUCUAUGUCUUAUAGCAGGGCUUGGGUGGAGGCCAAUGGGUAUUUAUUUAUGAAGAUUAAGAGUGGGAUUUUAUUUCAGGAAUUUUCUGUAUGUGUUGCUCAGCGUAACUGUCAUUUAUUGGUAAUACUGAAUGAGCUAAAUGAUUUCUUAAUACUUUACAUUUGAUUUAACAUCCAAAUAUCUGCAUAAACAUACAGCAGCAAUGAUACAGCCAGUGGCAGAAAUAAUUUCUAAUAUGAAAGAACAAAAUGCUUCAGAUGAACACUCCCCCAAAUCAUUUUGUAUGUGUGCCCACACAUGCCUUAUUAUAUCAAGAAAAAAUGUUUUUUUCUGUCAGGUUAAUCUUGUAUAUCAAAUGCUUUGGAAUUUAAAAGGGACAAAUUAUUCUGCUAAAAUACAUUAAAAGUAUUAUUUAUUUUUGUUAUGUGCAAGAUUUCACAGAUAUUGUUUCACACUAUUUCUACAGCUUCUAUUUUUCACAGACACUUAAUCUCUCUCUUCAUGGCACUGGCAUAGCUAAUUUCUUUGCAAAGUUAUCAGAAACAAAAAAUGGCUACUCUGCAAAGUAAUUUUACAAUUUUACAAUUUUUGUAAAACUGACUUCCCUGUUAUGUUAUUUUUGACCCAGAGGCAUUGCAUAAAGGGAAAAACAUUAAAUUAAAAUUGGCUGGUGAACAGACUUUUUGUUCUUCUCUUGCCAAUUUUCAGGCUUUUUGACACAACCCGAUUCCUAGUGAAACUCUAUGACUUAAAAAAAGCUAAACAGCAGAAAGGAUCAUGUUGCAAAUUGUUCCUUAUAAUUGUCACAGCCCAUGCAAAUUAAUAAUUUUUGAAAUUGGUGGAAGAAGGGGAAAAGUGAUGUUAAAACAGUAGGAGCCUGGGGAAACUACUAUUCUGAACAGUGUUCAACAAAGUUAAAUUUCUCCACUUUGCUUGCAUUGAAAGGACAAUGCAGUAAAGCCGACAUUUGGCAUUGUCCAGAGUUCCAGCUUUCAGGAAAUACUGUUUUAUUUUUUUAAUGUUCUAUGUGAUUUAAGGUUAUGAAUUGCAGAGUUCAGUUAGCAAUAUACUUGAAAAAAGAAAUAGUGUACUAUGAAAGAGGAAAAUAGAAACUAGAUAAUGCUUAAUGCAACAGAAAAGCUUCUGUUGAAUUGUGCGAUGGUAACAUAGCAGAAGCAUCUGGUGGCAUUUGUAUUUUUAAUCUGACGUUUAAUAGCUCCGUCUGUAAGGAUAUCUUCCAAAGUCUGUUAUCUGGGUCUUCUGUCCAAUAUUUUGCUGAAGAGGACGGGCGGUAUGGGAGGAAAGGUUGUAAUGAGCUUCAUGCCUUUAAAGGAUCCCCAUUGUAUGAUUUUUUUGUGAGCUGAACAAGAACUUCUUCUAUAUGCCCUUGUGCUGCAACAGAAUAAUAAAACUGGUAGGUGGCAGCAGAAGAAGGAGCUUAUGCAGAUGGCAUCCGAGAACAGAGAAUGCUGCCAUGUGGGGAGAGAUGGAUUCCAAAAUAUUAGCUGAUGUAACGUGCAAAGAUGAGAGACAGCUUCCUUGACUUGUUACUCUGCAUGCUUCUCCCCUGCAGGUUUGUAGAAAAAGGAAGUGGGAGAAGAUAAGCACCAGACCUCCAUUGCAGAAAGCAACUUUCCCACAUUGCUGUGCAACUUUUCAAGAUAGACACAGGACUCUGAUGCUAGGUCAGCAGCCCAGGGACUGAAAUUUUUGCACUGCAGAACAGGCUGUAUGAAGCAUCAAACAACAUUCCUUCCUCUCCUUUUAUGAAUUGUGUUCCUUGCCCUUUGUUUCUUCAGUUCUAAAAGGAAUGGAUCAGGGUCCAGAGGCUGGAAAAAUGGCAGCAGUGUUAAUGCAUUCAUAAAAUGGAAGUUACUCAAUAAAAUGUUAAUUUUUAAUUUGUGCGUGCAAUGUUUCCCUGCCAUGUUCUUUAUAAUGCAGCUAAUGAAUAGAACUAAUAACAAGAUCUAAUGAAACAACAGAAUAUCAGUGUUAACAUUUUGAUUUUCUGCUUGCCUGAUGUUAUUUAGAAGAGCAAAGCAUUGUUGGAAAAAUCACUUAAAUCUAUAUUGUUACAUAAUCUCUACUGUGAUAUAUCUAAACAGUAUGCCCUCUUUAAAAAAAUUAAUAUAAUUGUUCAGAUCAAUGAAUUGGUUGACAGUUGGACUUGCUGCUGUUUCAUCACUUUUGCAUGUCUGUGUUACUACACAUGUAGUAGAGUAGCUGUCAUGUCUUCCUAAUGGUAAAUAUUUUACUACUACUUUAUCUGGAAUCAAGCAGUUGUGCAAAACCUUCAGUUAUCAUAAUAAGAUGGAUUUUUCCUAUACCAAAUCACUUAUUCUUUUCUCAUGGGCUCUUGUAGCAUGAAAGUAUGCUCUGAUUUAUCUAGAGUGCUGAUCUAUCAGUAAGCUUGUUCUGUGCACUGUUGGAGUCAGACUGGCAUGGUAUCAUAUAACUCAUUUCUCCACAUUAUCAUUCAGGUACAUAAGUUGGGAAGCUAGGACUGAUCAGUUGGGGGUGGGGGACGUGAAAGUAAGGGAUUGUGAUGGAGUUUUAGCCACAUGCUUCAUGAGGAAUUGAAAAGUGCCAUUGUGCUUACACUCAGGUUCAACACUGUUGGUCAUCACAUGUGAUGUUCAUUUGAUGUAGUUUAGGAGGUUGGAUCCCUUCUCAUUACUUAGUGCAAUAUUGGGAAUAGUGGAAUUACUUUAGGGAAAAAUAUAAGUGGUUCUUUUUUCCCCUCCAUUUCCAUGAAAACUUGAAUUAAGUGAGCUACAUAGUGGCUACUGUCUGUUGAAUCCUGGAUUUUAAAGGUACAGCCAUUUCUGUACAUCAGGGGUUCAAAACUUUUAUGUCGAGCACACUAUGUUUGCAUAGUUAAAACCUGAAUUCAGAAAGCUGAUAGGAACAUGAUCCAAAGUGGA
Molecule: long non-coding RNA, 3354 nt
Organism: Python bivittatus (Burmese python)
Lineage: Eukaryota; Metazoa; Chordata; Lepidosauria; Squamata; Pythonidae
Source: RefSeq, a predicted model, not a curated record